RNAcentral lists this small nuclear RNA (19 nucleotides) under Arabidopsis thaliana (thale cress). RNAcentral's name for it is "snRNA_07304". Lineage: Eukaryota; Viridiplantae; Streptophyta; Magnoliopsida; Brassicales; Brassicaceae. The record is from RNAcentral.
UAUCUGCGGUAAAACGCAG